This 81-nucleotide transfer RNA is filed under the name Streptococcus pneumoniae. RNAcentral's name for it is "tRNA-Tyr". It matches the Rfam family "tRNA". From Rfam's summary of the family: Transfer RNA (tRNA) molecules are approximately 80 nucleotides in length. Lineage: Bacteria; Bacillati; Bacillota; Bacilli; Lactobacillales; Streptococcaceae. The record is from RNAcentral. RNAcentral also lists the same sequence under 1 other name.
GGAAGGGUAGCGAAGAGGCUAAACGCGGCGGACUGUAAAUUCGCUCCUUCGGGUUCGGGGGUUCGAAUCCCUCCCCUUCCA